GAUGAACGCUGGCGGCGUGCCUAAUACAUGCAAGUCGAGCGAACAGACGAGGAGCUUGCUCCUCUGACGUUAGCGGCGGACGGGUGAGUAACACGUGGAUAACCUACCUAUAAGACUGGGAUAACUUCGGGAAACCGGAGCUAAUACCGGAUAAUAUAUUGAACCGCAUGGUUCAAUAGUGAAAGACGGUUUUGCUGUCACUUAUAGAUGGAUCCGCGCCGCAUUAGCUAGUUGGUAAGGUAACGGCUUACCAAGGCAACGAUGCGUAGCCGACCUGAGAGGGUGAGCGGCAACACUGGAACGGAGACACGGUCCAGAAUCCUACGGGAGGCAGCAGUAGGGAAUCUUCCGCAAUGGGCGAAAGCUUGACGGAGCAACGCCGCGUGAGUGAUGAAGGUCUUCGGAUCGUAAAACUCUGUUAUUAGGGAAGAACAAAUGUGUAAGUAACUAUGCACGUCUUGACGGUACCUAAUCAGAAAGCCACGGCUAACUACGUG
RNAcentral lists this ribosomal RNA (497 nucleotides) under uncultured bacterium. RNAcentral describes it as "partial 16S ribosomal RNA". It matches the Rfam family "Bacterial small subunit ribosomal RNA", at positions 28 to 507 of the family's 1533-position model. The record is from RNAcentral.